Molecule: ribosomal RNA, 119 nt
Filed under: Apium graveolens
Lineage: Eukaryota; Viridiplantae; Streptophyta; Magnoliopsida; Apiales; Apiaceae
Also listed under: 1 other name
Source: RNAcentral
GGGUGCGAUCAUACCAGCACUAAUGCACUGGAUCCCAUCAGAACUCCGAAGUUAAGCGUGCUUGGGCGAGAGUAGUACUAGGAUGGGUGACCCCCUGGGAAGUCCUCGUGUUGCACCCC